UUGGAAGUAAAAGUCGUAACAAGGUUUCCGUAGGUGAACCUGCGGAAGGAUCAUUACCGAGUGAGGGCCCUCUGGGUCCAACCUCCCACCCGUGUUUAUUUUACCUUGUUGCUUCGGCGGGCCCGCCUUAACUGGCCGCCGGGGGGCUUACGCCCCCGGGCCCGCGCCCGCCGAAGACACCCUCGAACUCUGUCUGAAGAUUGUAGUCUGAGUGAAAAUAUAAAUUAUUUAAAACUUUCAACAACGGAUCUCUUGGUUCCGGCAUCGAUGAAGAACGCAGCGAAAUGCGAUACGUAAUGUGAAUUGCAAAUUCAGUGAAUCAUCGAGUCUUUGAACGCACAUUGCGCCCCCUGGUAUUCCGGGGGGCAUGCCUGUCCGAGCGUCAUUUCUGCCCUCAAGCACGGCUUGUGUGUUGGGCCCCGUCCUCCGAUCCCGGGGGACGGGCCCGAAAGGCAGCGGCGGCACCGCGUCCGGUCCUCGAGCGUAUGGGGCUUUGUCACCCGCUCUGUAGGCCCGGCCGGCGCUUGCCGAUCAACCCAAAUUUUUAUCCAGGUUGACCUCGGAUCAGGUAGGGAUACCCGCUGAACUUAAGCAUAUCAAUAAGCGGAGGA
RNAcentral lists this ribosomal RNA (611 nucleotides) under Penicillium chrysogenum. RNAcentral describes it as "eukaryotic LSU rRNA". The stretch from base 233 to 385 matches the Rfam family "5.8S ribosomal RNA". The record is from RNAcentral. Lineage: Eukaryota; Fungi; Ascomycota; Eurotiomycetes; Eurotiales; Aspergillaceae.